AAAUUGAAGAGUUUGAUCAUGGCUCAGAUUGAACGCUGGCGGCAGGCCUAACACAUGCAAGUCGAACGGUAACAGAAAGCAGCUUGCUGCUUUGCUGACGAGUGGCGGACGGGUGAGUAAUGUCUGGGAAACUGCCUGAUGGAGGGGGAUAACUACUGGAAACGGUAGCUAAUACCGCAUAACGUCGCAAGACCAAAGAGGGGGACCUUCGGGCCUCUUGCCAUCGGAUGUGCCCAGAUGGGAUUAGCUUGUUGGUGGGGUAACGGCUCACCAAGGCGACGAUCCCUAGCUGGUCUGAGAGGAUGACCAGCCACACU
This 317-nucleotide ribosomal RNA is filed under the name Escherichia coli. Its description in RNAcentral is "bacterial SSU rRNA". It matches the Rfam family "Bacterial small subunit ribosomal RNA", at positions 1 to 314 of the family's 1533-position model. Lineage: Bacteria; Pseudomonadati; Pseudomonadota; Gammaproteobacteria; Enterobacterales; Enterobacteriaceae. The record is from RNAcentral.